CCUACGGGUGGCAACAGUGAGGAAUAUUGGUCAAUGGACGCGAGUCUGAACCAGCCAAGUAGCGUGAAGGAUGACUGCCCUAUGGGUUGUAAACUUCUUUUAUAUGGGAAUAAAAUGUUCCACGUGUGGGAUUUUGUAUGUACCAUAUGAAUAAGGAUCGGCUAACUCCGUGCCAGCAGCCGCGGUAAUACGGAGGAUCCGAGCGUUAUCCGGAUUUAUUGGGUUUAAAGGGAGCGUAGGUGGUUUGUUAAGUCAGUUGUGAAAGUUUGCGGCUGAACCGUAAAAUUGCAGUUGAAACUGGCAGUCUUGAGUACAGUAGAGGUGGGCGGAAUUCGUGGUGUAGCGGUGAAAUGCUUAGAUAUCACGAAGAACUCCGAUUGCGAAGGCAGUUCACUGGACUGCAACUGACACUGAGGCUCGAAAGUGUGGGUAUCAAACAGGAUUAGAUACCCGAGUAGUC
This 460-nucleotide ribosomal RNA is filed under the name uncultured bacterium. RNAcentral describes it as "partial 16S ribosomal RNA". It matches the Rfam family "Bacterial small subunit ribosomal RNA", at positions 338 to 795 of the family's 1533-position model. The record is from RNAcentral.